UACGUAGGGUGCAAGCGUUAAUCGGAAUUACUGGGCGUAAAGCGUGCGCAGGCGGUUAUGUAAGUCAGGUGUGAAAUCCCCGGGCUUAACCUGGGAACUGCAUUUGUGACUGCAUAGCUAGAGUACGGCAGAGGGGGAUGGAAUUCCGCGUGUAGCAGUGAAAUGCGUAGAUAUGCGGAGGAACACCGAUGGCGAAGGCAAUCCCCUGGACCUGUACUGACGCUCAUGCACGAAAGCGUGGGGAGCAAACAGG
RNAcentral lists this ribosomal RNA (253 nucleotides) under uncultured bacterium. RNAcentral describes it as "partial 16S ribosomal RNA". It matches the Rfam family "Bacterial small subunit ribosomal RNA", at positions 524 to 776 of the family's 1533-position model. The record is from RNAcentral.